RNAcentral lists this transfer RNA (77 nucleotides) under Enterobacter asburiae. Its description in RNAcentral is "tRNA-Arg". It matches the Rfam family "tRNA". From Rfam's summary of the family: Transfer RNA (tRNA) molecules are approximately 80 nucleotides in length. Their secondary structure includes four short double-helical elements and three loops (D, anti-codon, and T loops). The record is from RNAcentral. Lineage: Bacteria; Pseudomonadati; Pseudomonadota; Gammaproteobacteria; Enterobacterales; Enterobacteriaceae.
GUGGCAUUAGCUCAGAUGGAUAGAGCAACGGCCUUCUAAGCCGUGGGUCGCGGGUUCGAGUCCUGCAUGCCGCGCCA